AACUAUAAUUUCUAUAAAUUACAAAAAAAGUUUACAUUUUGGAGGGCAUUUUCUUUCUGAAAGUAAAAGUAACCAAUAGAAGAUUCAAUGGAUGAAUCUAGAAGAAACUAGAUGUAUAUAAAAUAGCCGCUUUUCUCUUUCCACUCUCUUUUCAGGAAAAGGUGUCUUGUGGUCCAGGACUGCUUGCACCUGUGUAUAUAAGUUUAUCUAAUUCUGAGGAGAACUGUUAGGAAGCCCACUUACCCACACAUUUAAGCCAUAUACUACUUCAUCAGCUUUAUCAUGAAUUAUUUUGUUCUCCCUCUGUCUUGCUCUUUUGUCCUACUUUGCAGUUGGUUUAUGAACCAAGCAGAGUAAAGUGCUGUUCUUCAUUGAGCCCCUCAAAUCCUCGCACUUCACUCCUGGCCAAUAGCCUAUCAUUCAUGCUUUUUUUAUACAACAAAUAUUUAUGAAACCUUAGCUACAUGCUGGCACUAUACUAGAUGCUGGUGACGGUGAAAGGGUAGGCUCAGUUCCUGCUCUCAUGGACUUGCAUCAAACUUGUGAAUGAAUUACAGGAUCAGCACCAAAACCAGGCAAGGGCUACCUUACUGUGAAGCUGGAGAAAUUAGGGAUUCUGAUUGAACAGUACUGGACAUCAGACAUAGCUUCACAAGGUCAAGCUGACAUGGUGUUUUUUAAAACUAUGGGCCUCCUUCUCAUCAAUUCACUGUCCACUAUUAGAUAAAAAACAUGCCAACACAUGAUAAUUUUCAAGAUAGUCCCUCUCUUCCUUGGGUUCCCUGGGCUGGAAAGGUUUAUGAGAAAUGAGAUCUUGCCACCCAAAUUACUGAGGACUACAGAAAUCACUAAUGAAGGAGAAGGACUUGAGUCUAGAAAUUUCUUAGUCCAAAGCCUAUUGUGGGCAACAAGGAAAAAACUUAUUUAAGAAAGGAGAAUGAGUUUGUUCCUAAGGUAAGAAAACCAAUACGCCCAGUUAUUGAGAGCCAAGAAAGGCAGAGAUGGAGGAAAUUAGAUAAUGAGCUAAUAUUCAUCCCUAAUUUACAUUUGCUUUCAUGCAUAGAUUUGUCUGUCUUUCCAUUCUGUCCUAUGGGACUCCAUUCUACUAAGUGCAGACUUUAUACUUUCUCAAAACAUUUUCUCAGCUCUAGUUUUAUUAAAAAUCUGCUUAUAAGGGUGCCUAGGUGGUGCAGAGGUUAAGUGUCCAACUCUUGGUGUCAGCUCAGGUCGUGAUCUCAGGGUCAUUAGAUAGAGCCCCACAUUGGCCUCCACAUUCAGUGCAGAGUCUGCUUAAGACUCUUUCUCCUUUUCCCUCUGCCUCUCCCCACCCUAUGCUCGCACACACACUCUCUCUCUCAAAUAAAUAAAUACAUAUAUUUUUUUAAAAUGUGCUUAUUUAAUGAUAACACAGUGCUAUCCUGUACCAUUUUCUAUGUAAUGUUCACUUCACUGACACACUUAGACAUUAGCAAAGGAGCCCCAACUUACGCACUAAAUAUUAGAGGAACCCAUUGAACUUUCUUUCAUCUGUCCUUUCAGUGGGUUGAGAUAUCUCUGGGGCCAAGUGAUAUACUUGUGCCUUCCCUCUCAGAGCGCACUCAGGUCCCAAGGAAAACAGAACUUCAUGUUCCCUGCAGAGACCACUUCCUCUGGCCAUACUCCAAAAGUGCCUACCAUACUGCUAGUGU
Molecule: long non-coding RNA, 1688 nt
Filed under: Canis lupus familiaris (dog)
Lineage: Eukaryota; Metazoa; Chordata; Mammalia; Carnivora; Canidae
Description: lncRNA (ENSCAFG00040000509.1)
Source: RNAcentral